CAUUUUGAUGUCUAGAAUCAGGGGAUCCAGGAUCAUCACCAAGGUCAUUUUCCCAGAAGCUACCAACCUUUUCCAAGAAAGAGGGCCUGGCCCCCUUCUCGGGUCUGGCUGGGUGCCUGCUGUGCCUCUCUGGCCUCCCCUCCGAAGGGCACCAUUCCCUCGGACAGAUGUGCUGAGGCUGUAGAAAGUGCUUUUUAUUUGGUUGGGAGCUUGUGCAUAAAUGCGAGAGGGGCUGCACAUCUGACGGACUAGAGGUGACUCAUGGCUGAACCGGAACAGGACAUCGGGGAGAAGCCAGCAGUCAGAAUUCAGAACCCCAAAGAAAAUGACUUCAUUGAAAUUGAACUGAAGAGACAAGAACUGAGUUACCAAAACCUACUAAACGUGAGUUGCUGUGAACUGGGGAUUAAACCAGAACGAGUGGAGAAGAUCAGAAAGCUACCAAACACACUGCUCAGAAAGGACAAAGACAUUCGAAGACUGCGGGACUUUCAGGAAGUGGAACUCAUUUUAAUGAAAAAUGGAAGCUCCAGAUUGACAGAAUAUGUGCCAUCUCUGACAGAAAGGCCCUGCUAUGAUAGCAAAGCUGCAAAAAUGACUUAUUAAAUACUCCCAGGAAUGGCCGCGCAUGGUGGCUCACCCCCUGUAAUCCCAGCACUUUAGGAAGCCAAGGUGGGCAGAUCACCUGAGGUCAGGAGUUCUAGACCAGCCUGGCCAACAUAUAGUGAAACCCAGUCUCUACUAAAAAAAAUACAAAAAUUAGCUAGGUGUGGUGGCGCACACCUGUAGUAGUCCCAGCUACAUGGGAAGCUGAGGCAGGAGAAUCACCUGAACCCAGGAGGCAGAGGUUGCAGUGAGCUGAGAUUGCGCCACUGCACUCCAGCCUGGCGACAGAGCAAGACUCUGUCUCUCAAAAUAAAUAAAUAAAUAAAUAAUCAAUCCCAGGAAUUAAAAAACUGAAAUCAUUAUUUCACAAAUAAUGAAGUCUGGAUGCAUAUACCAGUUUGGCUAACUUCAUGUUUGAACUGUGAGAAAUUAUUAUGUUUCGUCAUCUCCAAUUUCUCUGGGCUGGGAGAAGAGUUAAGUUUAGGGUUUUGACAAAUAGCUAUAAAAAACAUCACAAGGUAUGAUACUUACACCAAGGGCAGUUUAUUUUGUAGAGUUGUGCCCUAAUCCUGAUGUAUGCUUUAUAAGAUUCAGUCAGGACAAAUGGCCAGAGUCUCUUCAGGUCAACCCACAUGGGCAGGGUGAGCUGAUGGUGCUAGGAAAGCCAGGACCCACUUGGCAACACAAGUUCUAUCAGUGUCCGCCCCCACUCCGCCUUUUUUUUUUUUUUUUUUUUUUUUGAGACAGAGUUUCACUCUGUUGCCUAUGCUGGAGUGCAAUGGCACGAUCUCAGCUCACUGCCAAGUUCAAGCGAUUCUCAUGCCUCAGCCUCCCAAGUAGCUGGAAUUACAGGCACACACCACCACGCCCAGCUAAUUUUUGUAUUUUUAGUAGAGAUGGGGUUUCACCAUGUUGCCCAGGCUGGUCUUGAACUCCUGACCUAAGGUGAUCCACCCGCCUCAGCCUCCCAAAGUACUGGGAUUACAGGUGUGAGCCACUGUGCUCAGGUCCCCCAACCCUUUUUUCUUUUUCUGAGACGGGAUUCUUGCUCUGUCGUCCAGGCUGGAGUGCAGUGGCGCGAUCUCGGUUCACUGCAACCUCUGCCUCCUGGGUUCAAGGGAUUCUCCUGCCUCAGCCUCCUGAGUCGCUGGGACUAUAGGCAUGUGCCACCACACCUGGCUAAUUUUUGUAUUUUUAGUGGAGAUGGGGUUUCACCAUGUUGGCCAGGAUGGCCUCGAACUGACCCCAAGUGAUCUCUUGGCCUCCCAAAGUGCUGGGAUUACAGGCGUAAGCCACUGUGCCCGGCCAAUUGUCCUCAUUUUUAAACGUGUCCCAUACUAUCACUUCCUGUUUACACCUUUUUAAACUCAUCUACAAAAUGGCAUGAUAUCUGAGUUGAGUAAAUAACUCCUUUUUUUUUUUUUCUUUUUUGAGAGGGAGUCUUACUCUGUGACCCAGGCUGGAGUGCAGUGGCGCGAUCUCGGCUUACUGCAACCUCCGCCACCCGGGUUCAAGCGAUUCUCCUGCCUCAGCCUCUCAAGUGGCUGGGAUUACAGGCAUGCUCCAAAAUGCCUGGCUAAUUUUGGUAAUUUUAGUAGAGAUGGGGUUUCGCCAUGUUGGACAGGUUGGUCUCAAACUCCUGACCUCAAGUGAUCCGCCCGCCUCGGCCUCCCAAAGUGCUGGGAUUACAGGUGUGAGGCACCGCAUCUGUCCAAGUAUUUUUUAAAUUUUAUUUUUUAAGACGAGGUCUUGGCCGGGCGCAGUGGCUCACACCUGUAAUCCCAGCUACUCAGGAGGCUGAGGCAGGAGAAUCGCUUGAACCUGGGAGGUAGAGGUUGCAAUGAGCCCAGAUUGCGCCACUGCACUCCAGCCUGGGAGACAGAGCAAGUCUCCGUUUAAAAAAAAAAAAAAAAAGACGAGGUCUCACUAUGUUGGCCAGGCUGGUCUGGAACUCCUGGGCUCAAGUGAUCCUCCCACCUCGGCCUCCCAAAGUGCUAGGAUUACAGAGGUGGCCACCAUGCCCAGCCAAUAACGAUUAAUACCUUUGAGGCUAUUUUUAACAUACCACUUACAGAACAGGCGAGGCACAGCCCAUGCCACUGGUCUGUGAAAUAAGCUGAAAAACCAGCUGGUGCCCUCACUAACAUCUAAAGUGAGCUGUCAUCACAUCCCAUGCUACAUUCCUCCCUAACACACUCCCUAGGAUCCUUCCGGGUCAGCUCCCUUGCCAAAUUCUAGUUAAUAACUCUGCUUGCACCUUGUACGGGCUCAUGCAAUGGCUUGACCCUAUCUACCCACUUUUAUUCACACACACCACACUGUCACUUCUUUACACACCUGUUCCUCCUAGACCACGAAGUCAUCUCUAAAGCUUGUGGGAGAGGUAUACAUAAAAUACCAGAACUCCUUAUGGCCAAGCAUAAUGUCUUACUUGCAUCCCAGCACAUGCCAUUAGCCACUGUUCCUUCAACUCCAAUUUCUCAGUAGCUCAACUUUGAUGAAGGGCAGCGGACACAUAGGCAGCACGUCAAGACUUCCCUUAUCCAACUGUUCAAAACAGAGAAAAAUGGUUCCAAUAGUAAGAAGUGUCCUGUUUCAUUCAGAAACGUCAUGUGGGACCAUCUGCAACUUGCUUAGUUAGCAUUUGCGGCCUCCUGUAACAAGGUGACAGAAGCACUUCAGGUCAGCAUCUAAAUUGCUUAUUUUUUUUUAAUUUUGAGCCACCAGGCCCAGCCUAUUUUUUAUUUUUUUUGAGACAGUCUCGCUGUGUCACCCAGGCUGGAGUGCAGUGGUGUGAUCUCAGCUCACUGCAACCUCCGCCUCCCAGGUUCAAGUAAUUCUCCUGCCUCAGCCUCCCAAGUAGCUGGGACUACAGUGCCCACCACCACACCCAGCUAAUUUUUUUUUUUUUUUUAGUAGAGACAGGGUUUCACUAUGUUGGCCAGGCAGGUCUUGAACUCCUGACCUCAUGAUCCGACUGCCUUGGCCUCCCAAAGUGCUGGGAUUACAAGUGUGAGCCACCGCGCCCGGCCAAUUCCACUGAUUCUAAAAUGGCCUUAAGUGAAAUUAAUCACGUACCAAAAUGCCAUCCUAAGAAGUCCCAGAACUAUUUAGGUUAAAAUAAAAUAUGAAAUGACCUAGAAUUCUUAGUUGUUCAUUAACUCUGCACUUUCAACUAAUAGGGUGAUUAGUAACUCAACAGCACCACCCCUUUCCACUCCCCUUUCAGAAGUCCUGUGUACAAGGCACAGCCCUGAGGGUGCCACUGCUGCAGUGAGGACAGAUUCCAUAGCGGAGGGACCUGGAGCUGCACCUAUUUUGUUCUUGGUGUAUCCAAAGGUAUCAGUCACUCCACAGCACAUAGGAGCACUCGGGGAUGUGUUGGAUGAACUCACAGCCAAGCCCUAUGCUCAUACUGAGGGGAUCCAAGUCUCACCUGGAGCAUAGUUGAGGGGUAACAGGGCUGCUGUAAACUGACGUAGGGCCUUAGUUAUAUGAACCUUAUGAAUCUGCCAAUUCAAAUUUCAGUCACUUUCCUCUUUUUAAAGAGUAAACAUUUUUGUGUUCACAGUACCCCUACUAAAAUUAGAACAAGGCCAAAGCAGCAGCCUCUCUGAGGUAACAACCUAACUUGGGCCAGGGGAAGGAGUACAGCACAGUAAAGCAGUUUUCUUUCCCAGAAUGGCAUAAGCCUGAGAAAAGCUUCUUUGGAAGCUGUUUAGACAGGAAAACAAAACCAUCAGCUCCCUGGCUGGCAGACAAGUAGAAACUAUGUUAAGAUGAAAAUAAGGUAUCACACAGAAAACAUACAUUUAGGUUUCUUUUUUUUUUUUUUUUUUUUUUUUUUUGAGACGGAGUCUUGCUCUUGUCGCCGUUUCUAGCUUUUUAAGAGUUACAAUUAAGACCUCAAUUUGAAGACUGGGCGCGGUGGCUCAUACCUGUAAUCCCAGCACUUUGGGAGGCCAGGGUGGGCCUGAUCAUUUGAGGUCAGGAGUUUUGAGACCAGCCUGGACAACAUGGUGAAACACUCUACUAAAAAUACAAAAAAAUGAGCCAGGUGUGGUGGUGCGAAGCUGUAAUCCCAGCUACUUGGGAGGCUGAGGCACGAGAAUGGCUUGAACCCAGGAGGCGAAAGAUGCAGUGAGCUGAGCUCGUGCCACUGCACUCCAGCCUGGGUGACAAGACAGAGACCCUGUCUCAAACAAAAUAAAACCUUAAAUUGGGCACUCAAGAAACAGCAUCUUUAAAUUUGUCACUGACUGAUGGUUAAUUUUACGAAAUACACUACAGCUUAUAUAUUAGUAACUACCUACACCAAGACUUUUUUCCCAUUCUUCUUUUUAAAUUUUAUUAAGAAAUAUCAUACAUACAAAAGCACAUAAACAUACAGAUUAAAAA
RNAcentral lists this long non-coding RNA (5004 nucleotides) under Homo sapiens (human). RNAcentral describes it as "non-protein coding lnc-LINC00483-1:6". Lineage: Eukaryota; Metazoa; Chordata; Mammalia; Primates; Hominidae. The record is from RNAcentral.